Molecule: long non-coding RNA, 3857 nt
Organism: Neofelis nebulosa (Clouded leopard)
Lineage: Eukaryota; Metazoa; Chordata; Mammalia; Carnivora; Felidae
Exons: 6
Source: RefSeq, a predicted model, not a curated record
GGGCAGACCAAGCAAGGCACGGGACACACAGAGGAAAUCCGAUCGUGUCCAACCCUGAGCAAGCUGAUGAUCCUCGAGGAGAGGGGGCCGGUAAGAGUGAGCUGAGCGGGAGCCCUCUCCGGGAGAGCUCAGGAGAGCGCAGCCAAGAAAAUGCAGGCCAGGGCUCACUCCGCCCUCUGGCCUGCUGCACCCUUCCCCAGCCUGACAGCCCACAGAGCCCGCUCACGUGUGACCGCCUCCCCCCCCCCCCCCCCCCCCGGGGCUCUCUGGCGCCUCCGUGCCCAUAUGAAGUCUUGCCCUGUGCUCACUGCUUGAGCCAUGCCGCUACCAUGGCUCGCUGCUUGCAGGAGGAGAGAGAGAACAGUACAGAAGAAGAUGGGCUUUGGGGUCAGGCAGGAUUCCAUGCCCCUAUUCCCCUAUUCCCCUAUUCCGCCUGCCGUUUGGUAACUGUGACCCAGGCGAGUAACAAGCUGUCCUCAGCCUCAGCUCUCUUAGCUUUUAAGAAAUCUGCAGGGGGGAUGCUGUGGGUUCACUGCACGGUUCCAGGGCACGGGCACACGGGAAGACCGCCUCUGUCUGCUUCCGUUGCAGCCGAGGUGGUGCCAGACCUGGCUGUGGAGACUCUCCCACAUGAUCGUCUUUGCACAAGCAAGAAAUAAAACUUCAGUGUGUUAAGCCACUGAGUAUUUGCUACCCCGGCAGAGCACACAGCCUGUCCCUACCCAAGUAGGAAUUUCGCUUGCAACACUGGUCGUCUGUUAAUCUACAGCACAGUCACUGUCAAAGGAAGGGCCUCAUUUUUGACGGUUUUGUAAGAAGUUCCCAGCAGGAAAGGAAAAAAGAAAGUUCACAAAAAGAAAGGAAAUGGACCCAUAUUUUAAAUCACUAGUUGCUACGGUGAUCUGUGACCGGUGAUCUUUGCUGUUACUAUUGUGACUGUUCUGGGGCCCCACGAACCGCACCCACACAAGACGGUGAACUUAGCAACUGCUGGGUGUGUUUGACCGCUGCACCUCCCUGCACAGCAUCUUCCUGUCCUCGGCAAACGUCACUGUCGUCGUAUCCUAGGAAACGGCCACGGCCACCCCCUCCUUCAGCGACCACCGCCCUGAUCAGUCAGCAGCCACCAACAUGGAGGCAAAGACCCUCCACCAGCAGAAGAUGACUCACCGAGACCUUCGACAGUGGUAGGCAGUUUUUGCAAUAAAGCAUUUUAAUAUUAAGGUACGUAUGCUUUUUGGACCUAAUGCUAUUGCACACUUAACAGACUACAGUGUAGUGUAAACAUAACUUUUUUCUGAUGUUUAUUUAUUUACUUUUGGGAGACAGAGCGCAAGCAGGGGAGGGGCAGAGAGGGAAACAUAGAAUCCGAAGCAGGCUCCAGGCUCCGAGCUGUCAGCACAGGGCCCGACGCGGGGCUUGAACCCACGAGCUGUGAGGUCGUGACCCGAGCCGAGGUCGGAUGCUUAUCUGACUGAGCCACCGGGCACCCCAUAAACAUAACUUUCACAUGCACUGGGAAACCAAAACAUUCACGUGAGGUGCUCUGUCAUGAUAUUUGCUUUAACGCAACAGUCUGGGACCGAACCCGUGAUAUCUCAUAGGUGUGCCCAUACGGUGUGCCCAGUGUGUGCCUCCAUCACUGCUCCUAGGACAGCUAGGACUUGUCUCCACUUGAGACAGCUCCUGGCGGGAGAAAGCAGGUCUCGUGACCCCACAGUCUACUCCGGCUACUGUCUUUAGAAGUAAAUUCCUCCGGUUCGCCCCUCUGGGCUUAAUAACACCUGCAUACUUCCAAAAGCAGGAGGCAGGAUGUCUUACUUUCCCAUCACCCCCAACUCAUCCUUGGGGCCCGCUCACUCCAAAGACUCCAGUUCUCCGAAGUUCGUCCCUCCUCCCUACCUCCUGUGCUUGGCCACCCGCCUGCCCUCACUGGCCCUGCGAAAGCCUCCCCUUCAAGCCCAUCCUUCCUAGAGCUGACUGCAUCGCUCCCUGGCUCAAAAUCUUCCCUCGAGUGUGAGAUAAAGUCCAAACUCCCUUAGCUUGCAGACGAAGCUCUCCAUUAUUUGAAACACAGACGAAGGCGAAACUUUCAGCUCUGCUCCUUCCUUUUUUCCUGUGUGACCUUGAGCAAGUGACCUAAGCUCUCUGGGGCCGGAUUCAUCCACCCUAACACAGGGAGGAGGAUUAGGUGUCUCAAGUGCCGGGCAGCACUGGCACAUGACGACGGGGAGGGAAGGAUGGUCAUCGCAAUCAAGCGGCUUCCGUAAGUGCCGUGGGGGUCGCCACUUUCCACGUGUAAGACCAGCUUGAGCUUUUGGCCGUAGUAAUGGUUUCACAGUAACAGACACCAAACACCGAAUUCACUUGGAGGAUCUCAUUCCUGGAGAAGGGGAGUGGAGCGGGUGUGAGGGAACAGGUGUACGACCGAACUCUGGAGAGAAGUGCCCCCCGCUUUGCACGUGAGUAAACCCGCUGCGUCCGUGGCAGUGAGCGAUGCCACGGACCGUGCCUGCUUACACCAAACGGAGGGAUUUCGUCUCUGAGCCACAUGGCUGAGGCUGCUGACCGUUUGGCGUAAGGCUUACGGUUGCUAAGCGAUGCCGUACCUCUCUCAAGUAGUGUGUCACGAACCCGUCAAUGAUUCCGUCCUGUUCCAGGGCUAUGAUGAGGUUCACCACACUGGUAAAUCCGAACACUGCAUACACUAGAGCAAAGAAAGCGAGAGUUUCCUUUUUAAUUAAGAAAACAUGUUUUGUAAGUAACCUCCACCCCCAACCUGGGGCUCAAACCCACAACCCUGAGAUCAAGAGUAGCGCGCUCCACUGACUGAGCCGGCCAGGUGCCCCAAGGAAGCAGUAGUUUAAAAAGCAGUAGGUCAGGAGGGGGCGCCUGGGUGGCUCAGUCAGUUAAGCAUCUGACUCUUGAUUUUGGCUCAGGUCAUGAUCUCAUGGUUGUGGGUUCGAGCCCUGCAUCCGGGCUCUCUGCUGACAGUGCAGAGCCUGCUUGGGGUUCUGUCUCUCCCUCGCUCUCUGACCAUCCCCGGCCCCUAAAAAAUAAAUAAACAAACAUUAAAUUGAAAAAACAAAAAGCAGUAGGUCAGGAGACAAUGACUAAGAGCUUGGCAUUCACCAGUAACAGUGACUUGUUUUUAAUGUGACUGUGGACACUCAUCAUGGGCUAACAGAAGGUCCCUCCUGCACACACAUUGGUACCUUUGCCUGUGUCACUGCCCAAGUGCCCUGUCCAAGGAGACACCCGCCAGGGGGACAGAAUGGCAAACUCACCCGCUAACUGUCCCACAGGAUUCUACCAGGCCCCCCCAUCCGUCCUCCGCUCCCUACAAGUGGCUGCCCAGGACCCCACCUGCACAGAGGGAACAAAACCAGUAACCAGUGGCCAAGAAUAGAGGCGACCACGAGGGCCGGCCGGAAACCCUCAGACUGAGCUCCAGGGAGCCACGGGAGUCACAACCGCACGGACGUUUCAGGAGGACAAGGAAGGAGGGCCGGGUGGAAGAGCUGGGGCCCGACCUGCGGCCAGAGUGAAGCCAGCUCCCCACACCCAAGGCCGGCAAGCCGGCGUCCACCCCACACCCGGGAGCUAAGGCUUUCGUAAAAGGUUUGGUGGGAAGGAAGUUUCAACUAAUCCAACUAUUUCAAACCUAACUGAAUGUCUGCUGUGCACAAGGCCCUGUGCUGGGCAAGACAAUACUCAGUAUAUUCCGUUUCAGACCAGCCACCUUUCAAGGACUCAGCAGCCACGAGCACAAGUGGCAUCUGUAUUGGACUUACCCCUCCUGUCAUGCUGACCCGGAUUCAGUUGCGCUCUCUGCUGGCUGCUGUUAAGAAUGGGUG